RNAcentral lists this ribosomal RNA (253 nucleotides) under uncultured bacterium. Its description in RNAcentral is "partial 16S ribosomal RNA". It matches the Rfam family "Bacterial small subunit ribosomal RNA", at positions 524 to 776 of the family's 1533-position model. The record is from RNAcentral.
UACGGGGGGAGCAAGCGUUGUUCGGAUUUACUGGGCGUAAAGGGCGCGUAGGCGGCGCCGCAAGUCGACUGUGAAAUCUCCGGGCUUAACCCGGAAAGGUCAGCCGAUACUGCGGGGCUAGAGUGCAGAAGGGGCAACUGGAAUUCUCGGUGUAGCGGUGAAAUGCGUAGAUAUCGAGAGGAACACCUGCGGCGAAGGCGGGUUGCUGGGCUGACACUGACGCUGAUGCGCGAAAGCUAGGGGAGCGAACGGG